UACAGAGGGGGCAAGCGUUGUUCGGAAUUACUGGGCGUAAAGGGCGCGUAGGCGGCCUGCUAAGUCGAUCGUGAAAUCCCCGGGCUUAACCCGGGAACUGCGACCGAUACUGGUUGGCUUGAAUUCGGGAGAGGGAUGCGGAAUUCCAGGUGUAGCGGUGAAAUGCGUAGAUAUCUGGAGGAACACCGGUGGCGAAGGCGACAUCCUGGACCGGUAUUGACGCUGAGGCGCGAAAGCCAGGGGAGCAAACGGG
RNAcentral lists this ribosomal RNA (253 nucleotides) under uncultured bacterium. Its description in RNAcentral is "partial 16S ribosomal RNA". It matches the Rfam family "Bacterial small subunit ribosomal RNA", at positions 524 to 776 of the family's 1533-position model. The record is from RNAcentral.